This 1086-nucleotide long non-coding RNA is filed under the name Equus asinus (donkey). Its description in RNAcentral is "lncRNA (ENSEASG00005029838.1)". The record is from RNAcentral. Lineage: Eukaryota; Metazoa; Chordata; Mammalia; Perissodactyla; Equidae.
UAUGUGGCCAGGAUCCCCUGGGAAACCAAAAGCACACAUGGUUGCCAGAGAGUCUAACUUUGUGACUCAGAAAUUGCCAUCUGCGAAACAGCUUUUAAUUGAAGCUCCAAGAGGCAGAAGGGGGCUGGAAAAAUCUUGCAAGUUGAUCCAAUAGGAUUAUCCUCUCUAAAGGAGAUUUUCCUAUGUUUAAUUCGUUGGAAGCCAUUUUGUCACAGACUGAUUAUUCGCGUGUCAGCCCUUUUGGUGCCCUGGCCCCUCCGCCCUGUGCUUGAGUCCCACAGAUUCUUUAGUAGCAGCCUGUGAUUUGUUUUUUCUGGAGGCUGUGCUGCCCAUCCUCUGAGGCACCUUGUUACAGAAGCCUUUCCUCCACCACUCAGGAAACAGGUCAGGCUCGGUGAGCAGCUUUCCAGCUGUUUGUUCUGUAAUGGUUCCAGUGAACGAGAGGCACUGCGGUCCAAGAAAAUGUCCUGGAGCACCAGUGGGUUCUGGGCUGCUGGCUGAGGGCCACUUGGUAUGCUGUGCCACUGAGCUCUCAGCCGGAAUUUCACCUUGGCUAAAUAUUCCUCUCUCAAUCCACUAAUUCCCCAGAAAGGAGACUGUGGACGCACCAUGCCAUUGAAGAACAAUAGAGGAACUGUGGGCUGGGUAUUUGGGAAGAUUCCUGCAGAGGAGGCCAUUGUUCAGGGACCUGGCAUCAUGAUCAGGAUGCGGGCUGUGCGAUUUUUCUCUGAGGAGCUCUAGAAGCCUUGAACCAUGGACUUCAUAGUAUCUUGACUUUUUAGCUAAGUCCACGUGAGAGGUUGCAAAUGAAUGGUCAGUAGGCUGAACACUACCUCCAGGAGUGUUUUGUUUAGCUUGCAUGGUGUUUAAACAUUUUUUGAGUAAGUCACCAACAUUUUAAGAUUGGGAGAUUAAAAAUUUUAGAUUUCUAAUGUCUCUUGAAAAAAAGCAAAGGAAAGAUCUGGCAACGGCAUCACUGACAUCCCAUUCUUGCCACAGUCCGUCAGAAGCUGGAGAUUUACACUGGGCACCCAUUCCCUGGGCUUUCAUCCCACUGCUCCCUAUUGCCUAGUACUCAGUGGGCUU